RNAcentral lists this ribosomal RNA (252 nucleotides) under uncultured bacterium. Its description in RNAcentral is "partial 16S ribosomal RNA". It matches the Rfam family "Bacterial small subunit ribosomal RNA", at positions 524 to 776 of the family's 1533-position model. The record is from RNAcentral.
UACGGAGGAUGCGAGCGUUAUCCGGAUUUAUUGGGUUUAAAGGGUGCGUAGGCGGGCUUUUAAGUCAGCGGUAAAAAUUCGGGGCUCAACCCCGUCCGGCCGUUGAAACCGGGGGCCUUGAGUGGGCGAGAAGAAGGCGGAAUGCGUGGUGUAGCGGUGAAAUGCAUAGAUAUCACGCAGAACCCCGAUUGCGAAGGCAGCCUUCCGGCGCCCUACUGACGCUGAGGCACGAAAGUGCGGGGAUCGAACAGG